GAAGCAUAUAACAUCAUACUAGCUAAGCAAGGGGAAAGGUUCCAAUAUCACAAGCAAGCAAUGAAGGCCAUUAUAACUACAUUCUUAGAAUGUGAUCCCUUUCAACAUUUCCUGCACCUCUGCUUCUGCACACUACCACCAAAAGACAAGAAAGGCAAGGAGACGUGACUGGAGCAAGAAAAACAGUGUUUUUCACACAAGGAUGUCCACUCCUUGUUGGGAAUGGCUUAAGAUCGACCUGGGAAAGCAAAACAUCGCCAUAUCAUUUGGAGGAAAGGCACUGGUUGGAAGAGCCUGUUGGCGUGGCAAAGCCAAGGUCUUUAAAGUCCUCAGAGAAGGCAGGCAUAGCCACCACUGGAGGACUUCCUGAUAUGUGGUACAGAGACUGAUGAGGGCAUGGGGUGACAACCUUAGGUGCCAACAGCAAGGGGAUGGAUAUACAGGGUAAAGGAGGCUUGCUGCCAUCCUACGCCUUUGAACGCCACAAAUCAGAGAUGGUACCAUGGAGGAACAUGAACAGGUGAGAGCUGAGGCAUGGGUGCCCACACACAGCCCAAGCCCAGGUGCUAACAGUUGACCAUCAGUAGCCCAGUGCCCCGAAUUCAUCCUGCGCCUGAUUAUCACCCAAAAGCAGUGCAUCGGCACCAUUCUGGUGACUCAAUAUCACACAAUGGCACCAGCCAGCAGGAACAAUCCAAUUGCCAGGCUGCCCUCCUGCACAGAGCCCAAGCCACAGAGCCCUCAGAUAACUCCAUUGAUGCAAAUCUCAGAGUUCCUCAAGGAAACAGGUCAACCCUGCACAUGGAGUGGAGAUUCAGAAAGGCCCCAAAAAGGAAAAAAACAAGGAUCAGUGUCCAUGUAUGUCCCUGUAUGGGGCUGCCAUUUGUCCUAACCACCCUGGGGUCUGCCAUAGCUGAGCCAGCCCUACUGGAAGAGGAUAGUCAAAUAACCUCACUCGUAUUCUUUUGCCACUUACUGUGUUGCCCUAGCUUCCCUCCAGGGGAUCCUCAUUUUGUCCUAGGCUCAACCUUACCUUUGAUCACUUUAGGACUCAGGCACAAGAUUUCACAUUGCUGGGAAUCCAUUUUCAGUCUUUGAAAAGACACAGUGAUUCUUCAGGAAGUUUGUUAUCCCAAAGAUGCAACAGAGACAGAAUUUCCCAGCUUGAAGGGAUUUGAAACAUCCAUAAAGUUACAGAAAUUCAUAUCUGGAGGAGUCUUAACGGUCAUUCAGACCAACGCUUUCUCGGGUAUCUAUAACAUCCAAUGCCCUAGUUUCCCUGCUGUCUUUUUUGGCCACUCCUUUUCAAUCUCCUUUGCAGGCUACCCUUUACAGGGCUCAGUCUCCACACUCUUUUGUUCUAGAUUUUCCCCUGGUGACCUCACCGAGGCCUACAGCUUUAAAUACCAUCCAUAUGCUGAUAAUUCCCAAAUUUAUAUUUCCAGUCCCAAGCUCUCCACUGAGUUUCAGGCUCAUAUAUCCAAAUGUCUACUUCUUGCCUUCAGUAUACCUUACAAACCUCUCAAGUUUGACGUGCCUAGAACUGGACUCUGGAUUUUACCUUUUGCCCGUAUCAACAAGUUCCUCUCUUAGUCUUCCAAUCACAGAAAGGGCUCCACCAUCAAGAUGGACAUGAGCCUAAAACCCAAGAAUUCUUGUUUCCUGCCUUCCUUUCCUUCUCUCACAUUCAGUCUCCUGGUAGACUUGUUCAUUUACUUCCACCAUUUCUAUCUACUUCUUUUCAUCUCCAGUGCCAACAUUCUUGUCCAAGCCAUCACUCUCUCUCCCCAAACCACUCCAAUAGCAUCCUAACUGGUUUUCCCUACCCUUAUCUCACCUCAAUCCAUUCUCUGCAUAUUAGCUGGAGUGAUCCUUUCAAGAAGUGAAUACAAACCUUAAAUCUUUCAACAGCCCUCACUGCAUCCAGAAUAAAAUCCAAGCACCUAUAACUGCCUAAUAUGGCUUCUGUCCACAUCUAACCUCAAAUCUUACCUUCUGCCCUUGCUGUGCUCAAGCCUUUCUGGCCUUUCAUUUCCUUAAACACACCAAGCCUUUCCAGCAUCAGAGACUUUACAAUUCUUCCUGGAAUGCUCUUCCACUAAUUUCUUUAGGUCAUAGUUUGUGGUCAUUUGAAAACAUGUCCACAAAUUCUUUUCUAUCCUAAAAAAAGGGGGAAUCCAAUUCCCCUCCUCUUGAACAUGGACUAGCCUCAGUGGCUUGCUACUAAUGAAUUAAAUGGUAUAGAAGUGACUGUAACUUCUUAGACUAGGUGACCAAAGAUGGCACAGCCUCCACCUGGUUCUCUGUCUUGUGAGGCUCACCCUUGGAACCCAGCCAUCAUGCUGUGACAAAGCCAUGUACCACAUGCAGGUGUUUCGGGGAACAGACCUGUCAGAGGUCCUUGCCAACAGCCAACAUCAGUCAGCAUCAACCACUAGACAUGUAAGUGAGGAAGCCUCCAGAUGAUUCCAGUUCCCACCUUCAGCUGAUGUUAGGUGGAGCAGAGACAUGCUGUCCCCACCUGCCUAAACUGCAGAUUCAUGAGUAAUGUAAUUUCUGUCAUUGUUUUAAGCCAUUAAGUUUUGGGGCAGUUUGUCACACAGCAAUAGACAACUGGAACACAGCUCAUAUGCCCCUUCUCAGAACUGCCCUCCCUGAUCAUCCUAAGUGCCCAUUGGCAUUAUCCAUAACCUGAAAAUUAUUAUGAUUGAUCCUAAAGUCCAGCCUGGUGCCUGGCACGUAGGAGAUGCUCAGUGAAUAUUUGUGGAAUGAUUGAAUAAGGAAAUGAAUCCUCUUGUCACAUUUGAAGUUAUCAGUCAUCAAUAAAAUGGGGAUUUGUUUCAUCGUU
Molecule: long non-coding RNA, 2848 nt
Filed under: Homo sapiens (human)
Lineage: Eukaryota; Metazoa; Chordata; Mammalia; Primates; Hominidae
Description: HSALNT0303675
Source: RNAcentral